This 253-nucleotide ribosomal RNA is filed under the name uncultured bacterium. Its description in RNAcentral is "partial 16S ribosomal RNA". It matches the Rfam family "Bacterial small subunit ribosomal RNA", at positions 524 to 776 of the family's 1533-position model. The record is from RNAcentral.
UACGAAGGGUGCAAGCGUUAAUCGGAAUUACUGGGCGUAAAGCGUGCGUAGGCGGUUUGUUAAGUCUGUUGUGAAAUCCCCGGGCUCAACCUGGGAAUGGCAAUGGAUACUGGCAAGCUAGAGUGUGUCAGAGGAUGGUGGAAUUCCCGGUGUAGCGGUGAAAUGCGUAGAGAUCGGGAGGAACAUCAGUGGCGAAGGUGGCCAUCUGGGACAACACUGACGCUGAGGCACGAAAGCGUGGGGAGCAAACAGG